This 88-nucleotide transfer RNA is filed under the name Lentisphaeria bacterium. Its description in RNAcentral is "tRNA-Ser". It matches the Rfam family "tRNA". Rfam says of the family: Transfer RNA (tRNA) molecules are approximately 80 nucleotides in length. RNAcentral also lists the same sequence under 1 other name. The record is from RNAcentral. Lineage: Bacteria; Pseudomonadati; Lentisphaerota; Lentisphaeria.
GGAGAGAUGGUCGAGUGGUUUAAGGCGGCGGUCUUGAAAACCGCAGAGGUGCAAGCCUCCGGGGGUUCGAAUCCCUCUCUCUCCGCCA